CAAUCAGGAGUUUUACAGAAUAUUUGCAUUGGAAGCAUAAGGUCUAAAGUUAGUUUAGUUGGUUGA
This 66-nucleotide transfer RNA is filed under the name Cucullaea labiata. Its description in RNAcentral is "tRNA-Pro". The record is from RNAcentral. Lineage: Eukaryota; Metazoa; Mollusca; Bivalvia; Arcoida; Cucullaeidae.